UGCAGUCGAGGGGCAGCACGAAUAGCAAUAUUUGGUGGCGACCGGCAAACGGGUGCGGAACACGUACGCAACCUUCCCGAAACAGGUGAAUAGCCCUCCGAAAGGAGGAUUAAUACACCGUAAGAUAUAGAGGUGGCAUCAUUUUUAUAUUAUAGGUAGCAAUACCGGUUUUGGAUGGGCGUGCGCCUGAUUAGGUAGUUGGCGGGGUAACGGCCCACCAAGCCUCCGAUCAGUAACUGGUGUGAGAGCACGACCAGUCACACGGGCACUGAGACACGGGCCCGACUCCUACGGGAGGCAGCAGUAAGGAAUAUUGGUCAAUGGACGGAAGUCUGAACCAGCCAUGCCGCGUGAAGGAUGAAGGCCCUCUGGGUUGUAAACUUCUUUUAUCUGGGACGAAAAAAGGGGAAUCUUCCUCACUUGACGGUACCAGAGGAAUAAGCACCGGCUAACUCCGUGCCAGCAGCCGCGGUAAUACGGAGGGUGCAAGCGUUAUCCGGAUUUACUGGGUUUAAAGGGUGCGUAGGUGGGUAAGAAAGUCAGUGGUGAAAUCUCCGGGCUUAACCCGGAAACUGCCAUUGAUACUAUUUAUCUUGAAUACUUUGGAGGUAAGCGGAAUAUGUCAUGUAGCGGUGAAAUGCUUAGAUAUGACAUAGAACACCAAUUGCGAAGGCAGCUUACUACACAGUUAUUGACACUGAGGCACGAAAGCGUGGGGAUCAAACAGGAUUAGAUACCCUGGUAGUCCACGCCCUAAACGAUGGAUACUCGACAUUAGCGAUACACUGUUAGUGUCUGAGCGAAAGCAUUAAGUAUCCCACCUUGGUAGUACGAUCGCAAGAUUGAACUCAAUGAAUGACGGGGG
RNAcentral lists this ribosomal RNA (865 nucleotides) under uncultured Chitinophaga sp. RNAcentral describes it as "bacterial SSU rRNA". It matches the Rfam family "Bacterial small subunit ribosomal RNA", at positions 56 to 919 of the family's 1533-position model. Lineage: Bacteria; Pseudomonadati; Bacteroidota; Chitinophagia; Chitinophagales; Chitinophagaceae. The record is from RNAcentral.